GUCCUAUAUAAAGCACAGCUCAAAGCCGCUCUCUUCACAACACUGCCUGUGUGAUGAGUUCUCACUGAUUGGCACUCAAGUUAAUAGAUACGUGACAAAAUGGCUGAUUGUUCAGCACUCUUCCAUGUGGUGUUUGUCUGCAAUAUUGUGAUUUUACUCUUCAGUGGGGUCCUGAACAUAAUUUUAUGUGACAGACUGAGGAGAAGAAAAUGUGAACUGUGUGCAGCACAUCACAGGAGGCUUCACCUGGCUGUCCCUCCUCAACAAAACUCUGUGUCUGAUGAUCAAGAGAGUGAGGUGAACUAUACCAUGCUGCAAUUCCCUGAAGACAACACAAAAACAGAGAGCUCAGAGAAGAGCAGAAAUGACACUGUCUAUUCCAGUCUUAAAUGCCAAAUCUCAAACAUCACUGAGGAAAACUAAAUCAGGAUUUUCAGAGCUCCACAGUGCAGAUUUCCAGCAGGACACUGGAUCUCUCCCUCCGCAGACCAGGAUCAUCACCACUGACCCAGAACCAAUGACCAGCCAUAAAGCGCAGAUCAGUCCACACAUAAACUGUCUGGGAUGUUAUAGUAUAAUUUAUCACCUCUUCCAUAAUUGUCUCAGAACUUAGACUUGCCAGAUCAGUGUACUCUUUUCUGCAAUAGUCCAGGGCUUCAUCCCACGUCUUAUUCUGAUGAACCAAAACUGGGCUGAAGACCUUCAUACAGUAAAAAGAUAGAGUCUCAGAGCAUGGAAUGUUGUGCAGUUUAGAAGUGGAUAUUUUUAACCUGCCACAAUUUUCAGAAUAAUCAUCUGGUUGUUCGCUAUCCCAGUUGUCAAUUGGUUGCCUCUCACCUCCAGACCAAAUCCAUUUUUCUGGGUUGUUAGAACUUCUGUAUAGUCCAGCCCAUUUAAAAUGAUACACAGAAUCUGUAUAAACGCAAAACUUUUCUGCCUCUCCUUUAUUGAUGGUGGAAAGGUCGUCGUAGUAUUUUCUGCAGUAUUUCUGUUCAUCAUUCAGUCAUUUUUUUCCCCACAAAAUAAUGGAUUCUAUAGGCACUGAGGUACAGUCCAAAAAGACUCAAAAGUAAGAACACAUUGACUGCAGCCUUCAUUUCUGUAUGGACGAUUUACACAGUAAUGCCUAAGUGUGCACUCAACUACGAUGAUAUUAUGGCAUCUCUUAAAGAUUUUUAAUAAGAGACCAAUAAAAAAGCUGUAAGGGAACUGGCCAAUCAGAAGGUCUCACCCUUGAAGUAUUUGUGUAGCAAAUGUUUAAAUAAAUCAUGCAUCAUUGCAAAUAUUUUGAUAGUAAAGAAAACAGGUCAUGCACGUCAGACAAAGUAAAAAAAUAAAAUAAAAUAAAUAAUAAAAAAGCAAAGUUAAGUUAAGAGCACAACAUUCUGAUUUGACAUAAUAAUCAAUGAAACAAAUAAACAAAUAAAUAAAUAAAUAUAUUAUUAUGUAAUAUUUUCUAAGAAUGGGAAUUGUAGGGAAUUUAAUAGUUACAAUUCUGGUUCAUUGGUGGUUCCAUUAACACUUGUUUUACAUGGUAAAGAAAGAAAUACAUUUAGAAUAAAGCAAUGAAAUUAUUAUUACAUUGACAGUCCUCAGCAGUUUUUUUUUUUUUUUUUUUUAGAAAUAAAUGCAGUUGUUUCAAAAAGUGUUUACAUAGACUUUUAAUGACUUGACAACAGUUCUCGGUUCAUUUCGGACAUGACUCUGGAUUCACUAAAAAGAACCGGCUCAUGAGUUGCUCGUUCGGGAAUUUGAAGACCUACACAGUGUUGCCAAGUCCGCGUUUUUUUUUUUUCUUGUAAAAACCUGGCAACCCUGGCCCUACGUAUUUGAUUUAGAUACGAGUUAUUUGUUUGGGGAAAAGAAUCGGUUCAUGAGUCUUUCGUUUCCAAUGUUUGUGUUUCCCUCUGUAGAAUCAGACACGUUGUCAAUAAUUUAGUACGGUUUCCGUCCACAUCGAGCGUCAUAAAAUAGGCUUUUAUUUGGUUCCAGUACCAUUAAACGUUUUUCAGUUGUAAUUUGCCUAUGUAAAGCAUGCACCGCCAAGAGUCAUUUAAGAGUCGUUCAGCAGCAGCUGCACGAGCAGGUUUUGGACUUGAUCUUGAGGAUCACGCUUUUGCAGUGGGCAGGUCAUGAUUACACUUUCUGCAGUAUGUCUGUGCAUCUGUCCAGUGGCCUGUAGCACGAAGCUGGUUUCAGUUUUUACCCACCUGCAGGGUCUCCUCCAUGAUUGUGACUGGCACUGGUGAGGUGGUGGGGAUUCUUCUUUGGCUCCUUCUUUGGUUCCUUGAGUGCUGUGAAUACUGUGCUGAAUUGGGUAACUUGGUAUCUGUGUAUUGUAAUAAAACAACAUGUACAAGCGAUAAAGCUUUCACUACAGUUUUAUUGCCAGUUAUUAGCCCGCUCUGAUUUGGUGGGAAAUAAUAAACAUGAACAUAUAUAAUAUUUUAUACUUCUGACUCAUCCCUUU
Molecule: long non-coding RNA, 2470 nt
Organism: Cyprinus carpio carpio
Lineage: Eukaryota; Metazoa; Chordata; Actinopteri; Cypriniformes; Cyprinidae
Source: Ensembl